Non-coding RNA from Microcebus murinus (gray mouse lemur), 479 nucleotides. NCBI's taxonomy places the organism in Eukaryota, Metazoa, Chordata, Mammalia, Primates, Cheirogaleidae. The record is from RefSeq and is a predicted model, not a curated record.
AUAGGAACUACCUGGAUUCAGAUAUGUGAGCAUCAGGCAAAUGCUUGAUUCCUUAGAUCAGGACUCAAACAUAAAGCCAGUUUUGGAAAAUAACUUAAUACUGCGGAUUCACAAACAUGAGAAGGACACAGGAGCGGCCGAAGCAGAUAAAUAAAACAAGACUGAUCUGAGGAUGAACCGUGCGUUCUCCUCCUUCGGCUUAAGAAACAUCCCUUGGCCAUGGCAAAGGCAGGCAUGUCUCAAGCGCUGUCAGCAGGCGUAGAAGCACUACUUCUGUGCAUGCUAAGCAUGGAUCACUCUCAGAAUCAGCAGAUGGGAAAACUGAAGCACACAUAGAUGAAGACAAUGAACAUAAACUCCUGGCACACAGUCAUGGCAAGGACAGGUAAGUACUGAUUGGUUCUUGUGUAUCAGGCACUUUGCUUAGCGCUUCAUAUGCAUUGUCUCAUUUACCCCCAAAAUCCCAUUAACCACUUAAG